CCUACGGGUGGCUGCAGUGGGGGAUAUUGGACAAUGGGGGGAACCCUGAUCCAGCGACGCCGCGUGAGUGAAGAAGUAUCUCGGUAUGUAAAGCUCUAUCAGCAGGGAAGAAGAAAUGACGGUACCUGAGUAAGAAGCCCCGGCUAACUACGUGCCAGCAGCCGCGGUAAUACGUGUGGGCAAUGUGUAUCCGGAAUUACUGGGGGUAAAGGGAGCGUAGACGGUGAUGUAAGUAUGGGAGGAAGGGCGGGGGCCCAACCCCCGGACUGCUCUGGAAACUAUGUGACUGGAGUGCAGGAGAGGUGAGCAGAAUUCCUAGUGUAGCGGUGAAAUGCGUAGAUAUUAGGAGGAACACCAGUGGCGAAGGCGGCUCACUGGACUGUAACUGACGUUGAGGCUCGAAAGCGUGGGGAGCAAACAGGAUUAGAUACCCCGGUAGUC
This 441-nucleotide ribosomal RNA is filed under the name uncultured bacterium. RNAcentral describes it as "partial 16S ribosomal RNA". It matches the Rfam family "Bacterial small subunit ribosomal RNA", at positions 338 to 795 of the family's 1533-position model. The record is from RNAcentral.